This 280-nucleotide ribosomal RNA is filed under the name uncultured prokaryote. RNAcentral's name for it is "partial 16S ribosomal RNA". It matches the Rfam family "Bacterial small subunit ribosomal RNA", at positions 524 to 803 of the family's 1533-position model. The record is from RNAcentral.
UACGUAGGGGCAAGCGUUAUCCGGAUUUACUGGGCGUAAAGGGUGCGUAGGUGGUUUCUUAAGUCAGAGGUGAAAGGCUACGGCUCAACCGUAGUAAGCCUUUGAAACUGGGGAACUUGAGUGCAGGAGAGGAGAGUGGAAUUCCUAGUGUAGCGGUGAAAUGCGUAGAUAUUAGGAGGAACACCAGUUGCGAAGGCGGCUCUCUGGACUGUAACUGACGCUGAGGAGCGAAAGCAUGGGUAGCGAACAGGAUUAGAUACCCCCGUAGUCCCUGAGCGGG